This 894-nucleotide ribosomal RNA is filed under the name uncultured bacterium. RNAcentral's name for it is "bacterial SSU rRNA". It matches the Rfam family "Bacterial small subunit ribosomal RNA", at positions 30 to 897 of the family's 1533-position model. The record is from RNAcentral.
CGAACGCUGGCGGCGUGCUUAACACAUGCAAGUCGAACGAGAAGUACGUAGCAAUACGUAUUGUAAAGUGGCGCACGGGUGAGUAACACGUGGGUAAUCUGCCCUCGAGUUUGGGAUAACCCCGCGAAAGCGGGGCUAAUACCGAAUAAGACCACGGGGACCAAAGUCCCUGAGGUAAAAGAUGGCCUCUAUUUAUAAGCUAUCACUUGAGGAUGAGCCCGCGGCCCAUUAGCUAGUUGGUAGGGUAACGGCCUACCAAGGCUAUGAUGGGUAGCUGGUCUGAGAGGACGAUCAGCCACACUGGAACUGAGACACGGUCCAGACUCCUACGGGAGGCAGCAGUGGGGAAUAUUGCGCAAUGGGCGAAAGCCUGACGCAGCAACGCCGCGUGGGGGAUGAAGGUUUUCGGAUUGUAAACCCCUUUCGACCGGAACGAAUCUCCUCUUGGUAAAUAAUCAGGAGGAUCGACGGUACCGGGAGAAGAAGCCACGGCUAACUCUGUGCCAGCAGCCGCGGUAAGACAGAGGUGGCGAGCGUUGUUCGGAUUUAUUGGGCGUAAAGCGAACGCAGGUGGUUUGGUAAGUCAGGGGUGAAAGCCCACAGCUUAACUGUGGCACUGCCUUUGAUACUGCCUUUCUUGAGUGCAUGAGGGGGAAGCGGAAUUCCGAGUGUAGAGGUGAAAUUCGUAGAUAUUCGGAGGAACACCGGUGGCGAAGGCGGCUUCCUGGCAUGUAACUGACACUCAUGUUCGAAAGCGUGGGUAGCAAACAGGAUUAGAUACCCUGGUAGUCCACGCCCUAAGCGAUGGGCACUAGGUGUGGGAGGUAUCGACCCCUUCCGUGCCGCAGCUAACGCAUUAAGUGCCCCGCCUGGGGAGUACGGCCGCAAGGUGAA